GAUGAACGCUGGCGGCGUGCCUAACACAUGCAAGUCGAGCGAUUCUCUUCGGAGAAGAGCGGCGGACGGGUGAGUAACGCGUGGGUAACCUGCCCUGUACACACGGAUAACAUACCGAAAGGUAUGCUAAUACGGGAUAAUAUAUAAGAGUCGCAUGACUUUUAUAUCAAAGAUUUUUCGGUACAGGAUGGACCCGCGUCUGAUUAGCUUGUUGGCGGGGUAACGGCCCACCAAGGCGACGAUCAGUAGCCGACCUGAGAGGGUGAUCGGCCACAUUGGAACUGAGACACGGUCCAAACUCCUACGGGAGGCAGCAGUGGGGAAUAUUGCACAAUGGGCGCAAGCCUGAUGCAGCAACGCCGCGUGAGCGAUGAAGGCCUUCGGGUCGUAAAGCUYUGUCCUCAAGGAAGAUAAUGACGGUACUKAGGA
This 429-nucleotide ribosomal RNA is filed under the name uncultured bacterium. RNAcentral describes it as "bacterial SSU rRNA". It matches the Rfam family "Bacterial small subunit ribosomal RNA", at positions 28 to 484 of the family's 1533-position model. The record is from RNAcentral.